AUGGGCGCAAGCCUGAUGCAGCCAUGCCGCGUGUAUGAAGAAGGCCUUCGGGUUGUAAAGUACUUUCAGCAGUGAGGAAGGUGGUAGUGUUAAUAGCACUAUCAUUUGACGUUAGCUGCAGAAGAAGCACCGGCUAACUCCGUGCCAGCAGCCGCGGUAAUACGGAGGGUGCGAGCGUUAAUCGGAAUUACUGGGCGUAAAGCGCAUGCAGGUGGUUUGUUAAGUCAGAUGUGAAAGCCCGGGGCUCAACCUCGGAAUUGCAUUUGAAACUGGCAGACUAGAGUACUGUAGAGGGGGGUAGAAUUUCAGGUGUAGCGGUGAAAUGCGUAGAGAUCUGAAGGAAUACCGGUGGCGAAGGCGGCCCCCUGGACAGAUACUGACACUCAGAUGCGAAAGCGUGGGGAGCAAACAGGAUUAGAUACCCUGGUAGUCCACGCCGUAAACGAUGUCUACUUGGAGGUUGUGGCCUUGAGCCGUGGCUUUCGGAGCUAACGCGUUAAGUAGACCGCCUGGG
RNAcentral lists this ribosomal RNA (514 nucleotides) under Vibrio sp. 7BfS15. RNAcentral describes it as "bacterial SSU rRNA". It matches the Rfam family "Bacterial small subunit ribosomal RNA", at positions 371 to 877 of the family's 1533-position model. The record is from RNAcentral. Lineage: Bacteria; Pseudomonadati; Pseudomonadota; Gammaproteobacteria; Vibrionales; Vibrionaceae.